AGUACCGUGAGGGAAAGGCGAAAAGAACCCCGGCGAGGGGAGUGAAAAAGAACCUGAAACCGUGUACGUACAAGCAGUGGGAGCCUCUUAAUGGGGUGACUGCGUACCUUUUGUAUAAUGGGUCAGCGACUUAUAUUCUGUAGCAAGGUUAACCGAAUAGGGGAGCCGAAGGGAAACCGAGUCUUAACUGGGCGUUAAGUUGCAGGGUAUAGACCCGAAACCCGGUGAUCUAGCCAUGGGCAGGUUGAAGGUUGGGUAACACUAACUGGAGGACCGAACCGACUAAUGUUGAAAAAUUAGCGGAUGACUUGUGGCUGGGGGUGAAAGGCCAAUCAAACCGGGAGAUAGCUGGUUCUCCCCGAAAGCUAUUUAGGUAGCGCCUCGUGAAUUCAUCUCCGGGGGUAGAGCACUGUUUCGGCAAGGGGGUCAUCCCGACUUACCAACCCGAUGCAAACUGCGAAUACCGGAGAAUGUUAUCACGGGAGACACACGGCGGGUGCUAACGUCCGUCGUGAAGAGGGAAACAACCCAGACCGCCAGCUAAGGUCCCAAAGUCAUGGUUAAGUGGGAAACGAUGUGGGAAGGCCCAGACAGCCAGGAUGUUGGCUUAGAAGCAGCCAUCAUUUAAAGAAAGCGUAAUAGCUCACUGGUCGAGUCGGCCUGCGCGGAAGAUGUAACGGGGCUAAACCAUGCACCGAAGCUGCGGCAGCGACGCUGAUGCGUUGUUGGGUAGGGGAGCGUUCUGUAAGCCUGUGAAGGUGGCCUGUGAGGGUUGCUGGAGGUAUCAGAAGUGCGAAUGCUGACAUAAGUAACGAUAAAGCGGGUGAAAAGCCCGCUCGCCGGAAGACCAAGGGUUCCUGUCCAACGUUAAUCGGGGCAGGGUGAGUCGACCCCUAAGGCGAGGCCGAAAGGCGUAGUCGAUGGGAAACAGGUUAAUAUUCCUGUACUUGGUGUUACUGCGAAGGGGGGACGGAGAAGGCUAUGUUGGCCGGGCGACGGUUGUCCCGGUUUAAGCGUGUAGGCUGGUUUUCCAGGCAAAUCCGGAAAAUCAAGGCUGAGGCGUGAUGACGAGGCACUACGGUGCUGAAGCGACAAAUGCCCUGCUUCCAGGAAAAGCCUCUAAGCAUCAGGUAACAUCAAAUCGUACCCCAAACCGACACAGGUGGUCAGGUAGAGAAUACCAAGGCGCUUGAGAGAACUCGGGUGAAGGAACUAGGCAAAAUGGUGCCGUAACUUCGGGAGAAGGCACGCUGAUAUGUAGGUGAAGCGACUUGCUCGUGGAGCUGAAAUCAGUCGAAGAUACCAGCUGGCUGCAACUGUUUAUUAAAAACACAGCACUGUGCAAACACGAAAGUGGACGUAUACGGUGUGACGCCUGCCCGGUGCCGGAAGGUUAAUUGAUGGGGUUAGCGGUAACGCGAAGCUCUUGAUCGAAGCCCCGGUAAACGGCGGCCGUAACUAUAACGGUCCUAAGGUAGCGAAAUUCCUUGUCGGGUAAGUUCCGACCUGCACGAAUGGCGUAAUGAUGGCCAGGCUGUCUCCACCCGAGACUCAGUGAAAUUGAACUCGCUGUGAAGAUGCAGUGUACCCGCGGCAAGACGGAAAGACCCCGUGAACCUUUACUAUAGCUUGACACUGAACAUUGAGCCUUGAUGUGUAGGAUAGGUGGGAGGCUUUGAAGUGUGGACGCCAGUCUGCAUGGAGCCGACCUUGAAAUACCACCCUUUAAUGUUUGAUGUUCUAACGUGGGCCCCUUACCGGGGUUGCGGACAGUGUCUGGUGGGUAGUUUGACUGGGGCGGUCUCCUCCUAAAGAGUAACGGAGGAGCACGAAGGUUGGCUAAUCCUGGUCGGACAUCAGGAGGUUAGUGCAAUGGCAUAAGCCAGCUUGACUGCGAGCGUGACGGCGCGAGCAGGUGCGAAAGCAGGUCAUAGUGAUCCGGUGGU
RNAcentral lists this ribosomal RNA (1946 nucleotides) under human gut metagenome. RNAcentral's name for it is "bacterial LSU rRNA". It matches the Rfam family "Bacterial large subunit ribosomal RNA", at positions 497 to 2427 of the family's 2925-position model. The record is from RNAcentral.